AAAAUUCUUCGGGGCAGGGUGAAAUUCCCUACCGGCGGUAAAGUCCGCGACCUGCUUUUUACAUAAAACGAUGUGUGAAAGGCGGCUGAUAUGGUGCGAUUCCAUAACCGACAGUAAAGUCUGGAUGAGAGAAGAACGGU
RNAcentral lists this non-coding RNA (140 nucleotides) under Lachnospiraceae bacterium MD335. Its description in RNAcentral is "Lachnospiraceae bacterium COE1 FMN riboswitch aptamer (RFN element)". It matches the Rfam family "FMN riboswitch aptamer (RFN element)". Rfam says of the family: The RFN element is a highly conserved domain that is found frequently in the 5'-untranslated regions of prokaryotic mRNAs that encode for flavin mononucleotide (FMN) biosynthesis and transport proteins. RNAcentral also lists the same sequence under 1 other name. Lineage: Bacteria; Bacillati; Bacillota; Clostridia; Lachnospirales; Lachnospiraceae. The record is from Rfam by way of RNAcentral.